GGCUCGUUGGUCUAGGGGUAUGAUUCUCGCUUAGGGUGCGAGAGGUCCAGAAUUCAAAUCCUGGAAGAGCCC
RNAcentral lists this transfer RNA (72 nucleotides) under Perca fluviatilis (European perch). RNAcentral describes it as "tRNA-Pro". It matches the Rfam family "tRNA". Rfam says of the family: Transfer RNA (tRNA) molecules are approximately 80 nucleotides in length. Their secondary structure includes four short double-helical elements and three loops (D, anti-codon, and T loops). Lineage: Eukaryota; Metazoa; Chordata; Actinopteri; Perciformes; Percidae. The record is from RNAcentral.